This is a non-coding RNA of Phrynosoma platyrhinos (Desert horned lizard), 72 nucleotides long. NCBI's taxonomy places the organism in Eukaryota, Metazoa, Chordata, Lepidosauria, Squamata, Phrynosomatidae. The record is from the annotation of a GenBank genome assembly.
ACAUCAGUGCUGUAGUGAUUUGACCGUUAGACUCAGACUCUGGAGUCCAGGGUUCGAAUCCCUGCUCGGUUG